This 266-nucleotide ribosomal RNA is filed under the name uncultured bacterium. RNAcentral's name for it is "partial 16S ribosomal RNA". It matches the Rfam family "Bacterial small subunit ribosomal RNA", at positions 57 to 305 of the family's 1533-position model. The record is from RNAcentral.
GCAAGUCGAACGAGAACGGGAUUGCUUGCAAUCCUUAGUAGAGUGGCGCACGGGUGAGUAACACGUAGAUAAUCUACCUUCAAGCCUGGGAUAACUAUUCGAAAGGAUGGCUAAUACCGGAUGAAGUGCAUCGGCAUAAGUUGAUGUAUGAAAGGUUGCCUCUUCUUGAAAGCAAUUGUUUGAAGAUGAGUCUGCGGACCAUUAGUUUGUUGGUGGGGUAAAGGCCUACCAAGACUACGAUGGUUAGCUGGUCUGAGAGGAUGAUC